This 624-nucleotide ribosomal RNA is filed under the name Limosilactobacillus portuensis. RNAcentral's name for it is "bacterial SSU rRNA". It matches the Rfam family "Bacterial small subunit ribosomal RNA", at positions 1 to 580 of the family's 1533-position model. Lineage: Bacteria; Bacillati; Bacillota; Bacilli; Lactobacillales; Lactobacillaceae. The record is from RNAcentral.
UUUAUAUGAGAGUUUGAUCCUGGCUCAGGAUGAACGCCGGCGGUGUGCCUAAUACAUGCAAGUCGAGCGCACUGGCCCAACUGAUAUGACGUGCUUGCACUGAAUUGACGUUGGAUUCCCAGUGAGCGGCGGACGGGUGAGUAACACGUGGGCAACCUGCCCUGAAGCGGGGGAUAACAUCUGGAAACAGGUGCUAAUACCGCAUAACAACGAAAACCACAUGGUUUUCGUUUCAAAGAUGGUUUCGGCUAUCACUUCAGGAUGGGCCCGCGGUGCAUUAGCUAGUUGGUAAGGUAACGGCUUACCAAGGCGAUGAUGCAUAGCCGAGUUGAGAGACUGAUCGGCCACAAUGGAACUGAGACACGGUCCAUACUCCUACGGGAGGCAGCAGUAGGGAAUCUUCCACAAUGGGCGCAAGCCUGAUGGAGCAACACCGCGUGAGUGAAGAAGGGUUUCGGCUCGUAAAGCUCUGUUGUUGGAGAAGAACGUGCGUGAGAGUAACUGUUCACGCAGUGACGGUAUCCAACCAGAAAGUCACGGCUAACUACGUGCCAGCAGCCGCGGUAAUACGUAGGUGGCAAGCGUUAUCCGGAUUUAUUGGGCGUAAAGCGAGCGCAGGCGGUU